RNAcentral lists this ribosomal RNA (99 nucleotides) under uncultured bacterium. Its description in RNAcentral is "partial 16S ribosomal RNA". It matches the Rfam family "Bacterial small subunit ribosomal RNA", at positions 1384 to 1482 of the family's 1533-position model. The record is from RNAcentral.
UACACACCGCCCGUCACGUCAUGGAAGUUGGCAACACCUAAAGUCGUCGAGCUAACCGCAAGGAGGCAGACGCCCAAGGUGGGGCUGGUGACUGGGACG